This 305-nucleotide ribosomal RNA is filed under the name uncultured bacterium. Its description in RNAcentral is "bacterial SSU rRNA". It matches the Rfam family "Bacterial small subunit ribosomal RNA", at positions 337 to 657 of the family's 1533-position model. The record is from RNAcentral.
GCCUACGGGGGGCAGCAGUGGGGAAUAUUGGGCAAUGGGCGCAAGCCUGACCCAGCAACGCCGCGUGAAGGAAGAAGGCUUUCGGGUUGUAAACUUCUUUUGACAGGGAAGAGCAGAAGACGGUACCUGUCGAAUAAGCCACGGCUAACUACGUGCCAGCAGCCGCGGUAAUACGUAGGGAGCAAGCGUUAUCCGGAUUUAUUGGGUGUAAAGGGUGCGUAGACGGGAAAUUAAGUUAGUUGUGAAAUCCCUCGGCUCAACUGAGGAACUGCAACUAAAACUGAUUUUCUUGAGUGCAGGAGAGG